CCUACGGGAGGCAGCAGUGGGGAAUCUUGCACAAUGGAGGAAACUCUGAUGCAGCGAUGCCGCGUGAGUGAAGAAGGCCUUUGGGUUGUAAAGCUCUUUUGUAGGGGAAGAUAAUGACUGUACCCUAAGAAUAAGGUCCGGCUAACUUCGUGCCAGCAGCCGCGGUAAUACGAAGGGACCUAGCGUAGUUCGGAAUUACUGGGCGUAAAGCGCGCGUAGGCCGUUGAGUUAGUUAAUUGUGAAAUCCCAAAGCUUAACUUUGGAACUGCAAUUAAAACUGCUCGACUAGAGUUUGAUAGAGGAAAGCGGAAUACAUAGUGUAGAGGUGAAAUUCGUAGAUAUUAUGUAGAACACCAGUUGCGAAGGCGGCUUUCUGGAUCAACACUGACGCUGAGGCGCGAAAGUAUGGGUAGCAAAGAGGAUUAGAUACCCUCGUAGUCCAUACCAUAAACGAUGAUUGCUAGAUGUUGGAAAUUUAUUUUCAGUAUCGCAGCUACGACAUAUACACUACCGUCCGUCGGGUAGGUACGACCGCGAACGUUAAACGUAACAAGAAGUAGACGGCGNGAGACGUGCCGACGGACGACGACGAGGGAGGUAGG
Molecule: ribosomal RNA, 602 nt
Filed under: uncultured bacterium
Lineage: Bacteria
Description: bacterial SSU rRNA
Rfam family: Bacterial small subunit ribosomal RNA (bases 1-515)
Source: RNAcentral